This is a long non-coding RNA of Notothenia coriiceps (black rockcod), 409 nucleotides long. RefSeq lists it as uncharacterized. The record is from RefSeq and is a predicted model, not a curated record. The transcript has 3 exons. NCBI's taxonomy places the organism in Eukaryota, Metazoa, Chordata, Actinopteri, Perciformes, Nototheniidae.
UCCUUGCUGCUGUGAAGCAGUCAGGACGUGUUGAGGCUGGGAGACAAGAACAACAUGCGUGAAGCUUCAACAAAGGAUUUACGAACCAGGACUAAAGGAAUCUUGCUAAGGAUUGAAGAGCCUGGAAUGGAUGCAUCUUGAUAAGGUUGGUAUAGAAGAAGUUGAUGUCUACAGCCCUGCAGUAAUUAAACUUUUACUGCAUGUACUUUCAUUUUGUAGACUCAUUUGUGAUGUGUAUGUGCCCUUAUUAAUAUUCAUUUGGAUAUGUCAUAUAUUAGUUUAAGGGCAAAUUGAAAUUAGAGCAUGUAAAGUCUUUUUAUAAUCUCAAACUGUUUAGACCACAUCCAUACUUAAAAUGUUGUGUACUGUAUGUAUGAACUGGUAAAUAAAGUUAAAUCUGUUAUUUAAA